UUUCACGACCCCAUAUGGCAAUAAAUGC
Molecule: small RNA, 28 nt
Filed under: Bombyx mori (domestic silkworm)
Lineage: Eukaryota; Metazoa; Arthropoda; Insecta; Lepidoptera; Bombycidae
Description: ovarian small RNA-38268
Source: RNAcentral